UGGCCUGUGAUGAUAUCAUUCAACCAAAUUUACACCAUCUUUCGGGACUGAAUGGCCUUUUACAAGGCCUUGCUGUCAUUCUGCAAUUCUGAGGCCG
Molecule: small nucleolar RNA, 97 nt
Organism: Diospyros lotus (date-plum)
Lineage: Eukaryota; Viridiplantae; Streptophyta; Magnoliopsida; Ericales; Ebenaceae
Product: small nucleolar RNA SNORD96 family
Exons: 1
Source: RefSeq, a predicted model, not a curated record